UCGUCGUCUCUCUCUCUCAUCAUGCCUUGGAGAAAGUUUUUGACUAUGCCUGGAUGUCCCAAAACGUCUAUCAGAUUCUUCAUCUCUUCUGCCUGCAUUAAUGGAUUGGGGGACCAUGUGAGGCGGAAGUGGUGGAGGUGGAGGCAAAAUUUGAUUGUGAAACCGAUCAUCCGUAUGAGAUUUCUCUACAGACGCUUCACUAUGUCGCGGCUUGCUCCUAUCAUCUUUGAUUCUUUCAUCCUUACUUAACCUAUCGAAGUUCCUAUCAGCACCUCUCUCCUGUACUCUUUCAACAGAACGUUCUCUUCCAUCUGUUCCAUAACGUCUAUCAGAUUCUUCAUCUCUUCUGCCUGCAUUAAUGGAUUGGGGGACCAUGUGAGGCGGAAGUGGUGGAGGUGGAGGCAAAUUUUGAUUGUGAAAUCGAUCAUCCAUAUGAGAUUUCUCUACAGACGCUUCAAUAUGUCGCGGCUUGCUCCUAUCAUCUUUGAUUCUUUCAUCCUUACUUAACCUAUCGAAGUUCCUAUCAGCACCUCUCUCCUGUACUCUUUCAACAGAACGUUCUCUUCCAUGCCGCUCUGUCGACCUAUCUCUUGAUUUUUCAGACAAUGUAUCAUCCCCACGACACUUGUCAGGACGGUCCCCUCUUUCUUUGAGGUCUUUCUCAUGUCUUUCACUACCCUUAUCUUUGGAUCUAUCAGACUUGUCAGGACGGUCCACUCUUUCUUUGAGGUCUUUCUCAUGUCUUUCACUACCCUUAUCUUUGGAUCUAUCAAGAGGCUUCUCCGACGCCCGGUUCAAUAUUUGAUCAUCAGAUCCAUGUUUAUCAUAAUCUGAUGCAUGAAGUUUAUCAGCAGCUCGUGCAUCUAUU
This 868-nucleotide long non-coding RNA is filed under the name Nicotiana benthamiana. RNAcentral describes it as "long non-coding RNA (NBEN_LNC003423)". Lineage: Eukaryota; Viridiplantae; Streptophyta; Magnoliopsida; Solanales; Solanaceae. The record is from RNAcentral.